CCGACUGCUAUUUGGGUGAGAAUAAGCCAUGCGAGUUGAAUGGGAUACCUAAAUUUCCCAUAGCAAACUGCUCAGUAACACAUGAUCAACUUACCCUAUAGAGAAAAAUAACCUCGGGAAACUGAGGAUAAUGUUUCAUAAUUGAAUUGGCUUGGAAAAGUUUUUCAAUGAAAAGGAUAAAAGAAAUGGUUUUUAUCUGCUAUAGGAUAGGAUCGUGUUCGAUUAUGGUUGUUGGUGAGAUAAUGGCUCACCAAGCCGAUAAUCGAUAGGGGCCGUGAGAGCGGGAGCCCCGAGAUGGGUACUGAGACAACGACCCAGGCCUUACGAGGCGCAGCAGGCGCGGAACCUCCGCAAUACACGAAAGUGUGUCGGGGUUACCCAAAGUGUUCAAUAGAACUGUGGUAGGUGAGUAAUGUCCCCUACUAGAAAGGAGAGGGCAAGGCUGGUGCCAGCCGCCGCGGUAAAACCAGCUCUUCAAGUGGUCGGGAUAAUUAUUGGGCUUAAAGUGUCCGUAGCCGGUUUAGUUAGUUCCUGGUAAAAUCGGGUAGCUUAACUAUCUGCAUGCUAGGAAUACUGCUAUACUAGAGGGCGGGAGAGGUCUGAGGUACUACAGGGGUAGGGGUGAAAUCUUAUAAUCCUUGUAGGACCACCAGUGGCGAAGGCGUCAGACUGGAACGCGCCUGACGGUGAGGGACGAAAGCCAGGGGAGCGAACCGGAUUAGAUACCCGGGUAGUCCUGGCCGUAAACGAUGCAUACUAGGUGAUGGUACGGCCAUGAGCCGUAUCAGUGCCGUAGGGAAACCGUUAAGUGUGCCGCCUGGGAAGUACGGUCGCAAGGCUAAAACUUAAAGGAAUUGGCGGGGGAGCACCACAAGGGGUGAAGCCUGCGGUCC
RNAcentral lists this ribosomal RNA (893 nucleotides) under uncultured archaeon. RNAcentral's name for it is "bacterial SSU rRNA". It matches the Rfam family "Archaeal small subunit ribosomal RNA", at positions 23 to 903 of the family's 1478-position model. The record is from RNAcentral.